AGCAGUCGCCACGGGAAAACGUAGGGGGCAAGCGUUAUCCGGAAUAACUGGGCGUAAAGGGUGCGCAGGUGGUUUAACAAGUUAGUGGUGAAAGGCAUAGGCUCGGCCAAUGUAAGCCAUUAAAACUGUUUAACUUGAGUGCAGGAGAGGAAAGUGGAAUUCCUAGUGUGGCGGUGGAAUGCGUAGAUAUUAGGAGGAAUACCAGUGGCGAAGGCGACUUUCUGGACUGCAACUGACACUGAGGCACGAAAGCGUGGGGAGCAAACAGGAUUAGAUACCCCGGUAGUCCCUGUCUCUUAUACC
This 303-nucleotide ribosomal RNA is filed under the name uncultured bacterium. Its description in RNAcentral is "partial 16S ribosomal RNA". It matches the Rfam family "Bacterial small subunit ribosomal RNA", at positions 507 to 808 of the family's 1533-position model. The record is from RNAcentral.